RNAcentral lists this microRNA precursor (104 nucleotides) under Equus caballus (horse). Its description in RNAcentral is "mir-544 microRNA precursor family". It matches the Rfam family "mir-544 microRNA precursor family". The record is from Rfam by way of RNAcentral. Lineage: Eukaryota; Metazoa; Chordata; Mammalia; Perissodactyla; Equidae.
AUCACCUAGGGAUCUUGUUAAAAUGCAGAUUCUGUUUCAGAAGGUCCUGGGGUGGGGCGUGGGCUGAGAGUCUGCCUUCCUAACAAGCUCCCAGGCGAUGCUGC